UUAUGCUAAUAAGAGCGUAUGGUGGAUGCCUUGGCACUAAGAGCCGAUGAAAGACGUGAUAAGCUGCGAAAAGCUUCGGGGAGGAGCAAAUAUCCAUUGAUCCGGAGAUCUCUGAAUGGGGAAACCUACUUGAGAAGACCUCAAGUAUCCACAGCCCAAUCCAUAAGCUGUGGAAGGGAACCCGGUGAACUGAAACAUCUAAGUAGCCGGAGGAAGAGAAAACAACAUGUGAUUCCGUAAGUAGCGGCGAGCGAACGCGGAAGAGCCCAAACCGGAGUGCGUGCACUCCGGGGUUCGGACUGCAGGAUUGACGAGUGAGCCUAGUAGAAUGGUUUUGGGAAAGCCAGCCAGAGAGGGUGAAAGCCCCGUACACGAAAGGCAAGCGAGCAUGGCAGGAUCCAGAGUACCACGAGACACGAGAAACCUUGUGGGAAUGAGCGGGGACCACCCCGUAAGGCUAAAUACUCCUUAGUGACCGAUAGCGCAUAGUACUGUGAAGGAAAGGUGAAAAGGACCCCGGGAGGGGAGUGAAAGAGAACCUGAAACCAUAUGUUUACAAGCUGUGGAACAUCUUUAUAUGAUGAACCGCGUACUUUUUGUAGAACGGUCCGGCGAGUUACGCUGGCUGGCGAGGUUAAGGGCUGAAGGCCUGGAGCCGAAGGGAAACCGAGUCUGAACAGGGCGACAUAGUCGCUGGGCGUAGACGCGAAACCUGGUGAUCUAAGCCUGUCCAGGGUGAAGCUGUGGUAAGACACAGUGGAGGCCCGAACUCACCGCCGUUGAAAAGUUGGGAGAUGAGGUAGGUUUAGGGGUGAAAAGCCAAUCGAACUAGGAGAUAGCUCGUUCUCUCCGAAAUGCAUUUAGGUGCAGCCUUGAGUGUUUAAUUAUGGGGGUAGAGCACUGAAUGAACUAGGGGGCAUAUUGCUUACUGAAUUCAAUCAAACUCCGAAUACCAUAAUUCAAAGCUCAGGAGUGAGACUAUGGGAAUUAACUUCCAUUGUCAAAAGGGAAACAACCCAGACCACCAGCUAAGGUCCCUAAUUAUAACUAAGUGGGAAAGGAGGUGGAGAUUCACAAACAACCAGGAGGUUGGCUUAGAAGCAGCCAUACCUUUAAAGAGUGCGUAAUAGCUCACUGGUCGAGAGUCUCUGCGCCGACAAUGUAACGGGGCUAAGUUAUAAACCGAAGCUGUGGAAUUGCGUAAGCAAUUGGUAGGAGAGCGUUCUGUAGGCCGUUGAAGGAGAAGCGUAAGCAACUCUGGAGGUAUCAGAAGUGAGAAUGCAGGAAUAAGUAGCGAGAAAGGGGGCGAGAAUCCCCCUCGCCGGAAGACCAAGGUUUUCAGGGUAAAGCUUGUCUUCCCUGAGUAAGCCGGGACCUAAGCCGAGGCUAAAAUGCGUAGGCGAAUGGAAAACAGAUUAAUAUUUCUGUGCCAGUUAUAUUUUGUGAUGGAGGGACGCAGAAGGGUAUGUGCGCGGGAGAACGGAAGUUCCCGUAAAAGCAUGUAGAGUGGUCUAGUAGGAAAAUCCGCUAGAUUAGACUUGAGGUGUGAUAUAUAGUCGUAAGAUGAAUGCACAAAUCCCACGCUGCCGAGAAAAGCUUCUAACGUUAAGGUAUAACUGCCCGUACCCGAAACCGACACAGGUGGUCAGGAUGAGAAAUCUAAGGCGGACAGGCUAACUCUCGUUAAGGAACUCUGCAAAAUUGCCCCGUAACUUUGGGAGAAGGGGUGCCCCUGAAUGUUAGUAAUUACGCAUUAUGAAGCAUUUGGGGGUCGCAGUGAAGAGGCUCAAGCAACUGUUUAACAAAAACACAGGUCUAUGCUAAGCUGUAAGGCGAUGUAUAUGGGCUGACACCUGCCCAGUGCCGGAAGGUUAAGAGGAGGAGUGAGAGCUCCGAAUUGAAGCCCCGGUGAACGGCGGCCGUAACUAUAACGGUCCUAAGGUAGCGAAAUUCCUUGUCGGGUAAG
RNAcentral lists this ribosomal RNA (1966 nucleotides) under metagenome. RNAcentral describes it as "bacterial LSU rRNA". It matches the Rfam family "Bacterial large subunit ribosomal RNA", at positions 1 to 1980 of the family's 2925-position model. The record is from RNAcentral.